Molecule: transfer RNA, 75 nt
Filed under: Halobacillus sp. BAB-2008
Lineage: Bacteria; Bacillati; Bacillota; Bacilli; Caryophanales; Bacillaceae
Description: tRNA-Gln
Source: RNAcentral
CAGCUGGCCCAGCCAUUUUCAAUUAGUGUCUUUCGUAUAGUAAGAUCCUCUACUAAUUGUAAGCACACAUUUUGA